GCUGGUUGUGGUGACACACAUCUGUAAUCCCAGCUACUGAGGAAGUUGAGGCAGGAGGAUCACAAGUUUGAGGCCAGCCUCAGCAACUCAAUGAGACCCUCAGCCACUU
RNAcentral lists this small RNA (109 nucleotides) under Marmota monax (woodchuck). The record is from RNAcentral. Lineage: Eukaryota; Metazoa; Chordata; Mammalia; Rodentia; Sciuridae.